This is a long non-coding RNA of Acanthopagrus latus (yellowfin seabream), 1392 nucleotides long. RefSeq lists it as uncharacterized. The transcript is spliced from 3 exons. NCBI's taxonomy places the organism in Eukaryota, Metazoa, Chordata, Actinopteri, Spariformes, Sparidae. The record is from RefSeq and is a predicted model, not a curated record.
CACACACUUCCAGUGAUCCAGAAAACUCCCAAGAAGCCACGAAGCGGAAACUGGAAAGAGUCAAAGUGUCUCCAGAAAAACAAACUGCUCACAUUUCAGCGCAGAUCCGACAACAAGCAACACACAACACACACGCCCGCGUGCACACAACAACAACAACAACAACAAGGCUGGCACGCAGCGCACGUGCCGGCGCAAAAGCACAAGGAGCGCACAGGAAAUUGAUUUGCCCUCCUACCUUCCUCGUGCAUCCGCUGCAGACAGAAAGUGAGGUUCCUCCGCCAGCCCGGCAUGGUGAUGAAGGAGACGAGGAAGUGGAGGAGAGGUACAAAACCCUGAAUGCCUCUGAGGAGAGACCGACUGAAGCAAUCAGAAGAAGAACUGUGUGUCCACGUCUUGAAGAGCUGAAUGUUCCCCUCGCCCGAGUCUCCGUGGAGCUUCAGCGUACAUCGCCGUGACAUCACAGAUGAGGGGGUGGAACAGGAUCUUCUACAUUUAAUGACUGCGGAUUGAGGACAGCGUUCACCAGCACAAAGUGAGCUGCCCCCGAGGCGAAGGAAGAGCAGAUUCAAACACACAUCAGCAAUCGUAGUGCAAGAUGGCAAACACACACACACACACACAAAAUCACAUUCCCACACACUGGAUUCGUCCUUGAAGGCACUGACUCAGGUUUUACACACAUAUAAAGCCCUCCAAGCUGCAUUUAGUCAGGGGGUGAGUACAGCGUCAGUGUCAGGAACUCAGCUUCAUUAUAACACGUCAUCGAGGGCUUUUUAAUGAACAAGAACUUUUUGAAAUUGAGUUCAAAUAGCAGUCUGACACAAAGAUUCUCCUCCCAUGGCGCGCUUCCUCAAUGUCUCCAAGUGCUCGGGCUUCAUUACAUCGACAUGAACAGAGCAAGAACAAAGCAGGGUUAAUGGAAAAAGUCUUUGUAUUUAUUUCUUUGCUUUGUUAAUUUGAAUGAUGUUAUUGACUCUCUGUUGUUUGUGAUCAUCAGCCUGUCUUCACAGUUAACCCACUUUUGGCCAGUCCACCAUUUUGAUUCAGACUCAAACAAACGAUGGCAGCGUACGUUUCUUGAUGUUGCAACUUUAUGUGUCUUUAGGUCCAAUAUUAGGCUCAGGAAACUAUCAUGUUUUGGCUUUAAAUGCCUGGUAUUGUCCCAACAUCUCAUCGAAAAUAUCAGGUUUUGUUACGACAAAGUGGUCCGUCUGCCAUCUUCUCCGUGUCUCGACGAGAUCAGCCAACAUACAUGGAAAAUGAUAGUGAUGCAUAUUUCAGGUGUUGACCUCAGUUACUCCACAACUGGUGCACAUAUUAUAUACUGUAUAUUAUUAUUAUAAGAUUUCCUUUUCAUGAUUCCAUCUUUAUAUGACAUGUAAACCAACA